RNAcentral lists this small RNA (637 nucleotides) under Drosophila mojavensis. Its description in RNAcentral is "GI26787". The record is from RNAcentral. Lineage: Eukaryota; Metazoa; Arthropoda; Insecta; Diptera; Drosophilidae.
AUCCAAAUUCAGUCCCUUAAACAUAUACAAAAAAUUCCAGCAAAAAUUACAAAACAAAAGUUCCAAGGCAAAAAAAAAAAAAAAAAAAAAAAAAAAGAACACACGCACAAACAAUUACAAAAACUGUUUAAUUUGUGACUCGUUAUUUUUAAGCGAAAAGUGAAAUUUUUUUAUAUUUUUUUUAUACAAAAUACAAAGCUCACAAUGGACAUAUCGGCGUGCGCCAGAAAAAAUCUACAAUAUGUACUAUACAUACAUCAACAGAGACAAAAACAAGAAUAUUGCAUGAUACACAUACACAUACAUUGCUGGGUAUUCUAGGGCUAAGCACAUCACCUACAUGCGCCAGACAUAUAUUAAUUAAUACAUAAACAGGAAUGAUACACCUCUGAUACACAAUCGGUAUGAAUAUUCUCCAAAUGAAGUAAACCUUGCAAGACACUUAAAGCACAAUAAAGUCAUCGCAUAUAUAUACAGAAACAGAAAGAAGUAAACAAACGCAAUUUCAAUGGCUCUAUAGAAGCAAUGGCACACACACAUAUCAUGGAGCAGAAUUCUUCGGUGGGAAUGCUAACACCCAAGAAAAGACAACAGGCAUUGGAUAGAUAACUGAAGCUUAAAUAAAUAUAUAUAGAAA